UUUUAAAAUAAAAUUGCAAUGAAAGGAAAAUAUUUAUUAGUAAUUACUUUCAUUUUUCUUACAAAGAUGUUGAAAUAACAAUAUAUAAUAAUUAUGAAAUUAUAAAAUAGUUUUAUUAAUGUUGAGUUGUAAUAAUUUUCCCACUUAACAUGUAUUUAAACAAAUGAUAAUACAUCUUCACAGGCCAUAUGAAAUUACUUUAAGGGCCAGGUGUGGCCCAUGGACCACCAGUUUGGAACCACUGAUCUAGCAGAUGCAAUAAAACAAGUUGAUCUGCCAUAUUUCGAACGUCCUUAUUUCACUAGUCGAUCAAGUGAUGAGAUAAUAUUGAACACAAAAUCAAACCCUGGGAUUUCAAAACAGAAGAAGUCAUUGAUCAAAAUAGCAACAAAUGGAAACUGUUUUGAAAUGACACCACUUUUAUUCCAUCAUGCAAUGUGAGACAAAUGUCACACGAUGCUCUCACUAUUAAGAAUAGGUGUCCAUGUCUCAAUGUAUUUAAGAUGGGUUUGAAUGGGUUUAACCUGAAUACCUAAAAAAAUCUGGAGGUAUGAGAUUUGAAAUUAAAUAUAAAUAAUGCAUGAUUGAAAUACGAUAUGCUUCCAUCCUGGUAACAACUUAGCCAUCCAGUCAAUUGAUUAUCAUUACUGUAAAUAUCAUUGAUGAUCAGCUGUCAUAAGUACGAAUUUUUGUUGUAA
RNAcentral lists this long non-coding RNA (698 nucleotides) under Androctonus crassicauda. Lineage: Eukaryota; Metazoa; Arthropoda; Arachnida; Scorpiones; Buthidae. The record is from RNAcentral.